This 325-nucleotide ribosomal RNA is filed under the name Diomus sp. EL-2009. Its description in RNAcentral is "partial 16S ribosomal RNA". Lineage: Eukaryota; Metazoa; Arthropoda; Insecta; Coleoptera; Coccinellidae. The record is from RNAcentral.
UAUAAUUUAAAAUAGGAUCUGCCCACUGAAUAAUUUAAAGGGCCGCAGUAUUUUGACUGUGCAAAGGUAGCAUAAUCAGUAGUUUUUUAAUUGAAAGCUUGUAUGAAUGAUUUGAUGAGAAAAUAACUGUCUUUAUUUAAAAAAUAAAAUUUUAUUUUUAAGUUCAAAAGCUUAAAUAAUUUAAAAAGACGAGAAGACCCUAUAGAAUUUUAUUUUAAUUUAUUUAUUUAAUUUAAGUAUUAAUUAUUUUAUAAUUAAAUUAUAAUUUGGUUGGGGUGAUUUUAAAAUUUAAUAAACUUUUAAUUAAUUAAAACAAUAAUUUUUG